Betta splendens (Siamese fighting fish) is the source of this 2864-nucleotide long non-coding RNA. Ensembl lists it as uncharacterized. NCBI's taxonomy places the organism in Eukaryota, Metazoa, Chordata, Actinopteri, Anabantiformes, Osphronemidae. The record is from Ensembl.
AUGACGAUCACGCAUCCAGCUACAACCCUUGACUCUAACUGGACUGAGCUCCAGGUUCAUGUCAAGGUCAAAGCAGGUGCUAUGUCAUUAGGACAAACUCCAUCAACAGAUCCUGGGGUCAAAGGUCAGAGUGAGGGCCCUCGUGUUCAGGUCAUACACCUUCUGCUGCUUGUGUGCACUGUCACUUGGAGCUUUUCCUGUUUGUCUGCUGCUGUCAAACCUUGGCUCACGGGGGCAGUUUUACAGGCUGGAGCAGCUGCAGGAAACAUCUUUCCAGUGAACGGCUGUUUGGCUGCAGGUUAUAAAAGACUGCAGAGAGAAAGCGAAGCUCAGGCUGGUUCCGGCUCUGCAGCGUCCACCUCCUCUGAUCCAACAACAACGACACAAAGGUACCAACCAACAUUUCUAAUGUUUGCUUCUGAGGCCAAAGCUGUGAUAAAACAAUUGGCAGCACACGGAGACCUGAUCUCUAACUCCAACCUGAACGACCGACUGGACUUGCUCAAACUGGUGCGGGUCACUGAGGGACGAUUAUGGCCCGUUCCCAAGUAUAAGACCAUGGAGCUCUCUCUGCCAGAGCUGAUGGACGACUCUGACUUCUCUCCAGGUUUUGAGGAGGAGGUGCUGAUGAAGGAGUUUACCACAAGAGUAGAGAUGUGUGGCAGCAGUAGUGUUGGAGGAGGAGACGGUGCCGUGGGCGAAGCUGAAGUCAGUGCGAGCGCAGACACUGUGGACGGGCUGGAGACUCCGGUCAGCAUGAUGUCCAAGAAGGUGAAGCUCAGAUCUGUGAGGGACUGGUUCGGCAGCAGGAAAAUCAAAAAGAACAAGGUGCAAAUGCUGAGGCUGAAGGAAAGAGACAAGCUGAUGUUUGUCCACCAGACGGUCUACAACACCGGCCCCGUCAGGCUCCACAGGAAGUCCAAGAUGGACGGCUCUGUGUCUGCCUCCUGCCAAAAGCUGCUCAACCUGUUUAUGAAGGGUAGCUGGAAGGAGGAGACAAGCUUCACUGUGCCAGAAAAAUCAACUUUUGCCUAUGGGCUCAUGGAGAUAAGAGGUGUUCAAGAAGAGAAGCUUGAAAUCUCAUGUGAACCCUGGAUGAAUCAAAGUAUGUUUGACAGGCUCAUCAACAGCGAUACCUCAUCAGACAACAGUGCAAACUCUUCUGUGAGCCUGCAACAAGUGAAAGACGGUCUGGAGAUGAAAGUAGCUGCACUGCAGCCGCUGGCAGAUGUUCAUAACUCAACCCAAUGUGAACUCUUGCAAACACUGAGAGAGCUGCUGAAGAACAGAGAAGCUCUCACACAGCUGGAGCAAAUGUUGGAUCAGAGCAGUGCGGGAGCAUAUGAAGGUCCUCAGUCUCAGGCUGUCUCCUCCUUCCUGAAUGCUCUCAAUGUAUCCACCACCUCCACAGCUCAGAAAGAUGCUGUGCACCUGCUGGUCAGCGCCUUAGACACUCUGCCGGAUGAUGCUCCUGCUCUUCUGAUCGCCAGUGGUCCCGAUGUCCUGAGAGCCCUCAACCAGCUGGUGGAUGGGCUGCAGGUGGACGGUCAGAACCAGCUGGCAGAGCCACUGCCCCCUGCCCUGAAGGAGGACGGGGAGCUCCGCUGGGCGGCCCAGCUCCUCUGUUCCAGCCCCCAGACACUGACAGAGCUAAGUGAGCACUGGGAGAGACCAGAGCUCCCAGUAGGAGUCCUGCUGGAAGUGCUGGCUCUGGUCGUACGCGGACUGGGCCUGAUGCAGAACCUGCUGAGCAGCGGGACAGACCAGAGCUCCCAGUAGGAGUCCUGCUGGAGGUGCUGGCUCUGGUUGUACACGGAGUGGGCCUGAUAAAGAACCUGGUUUAGUCUUUCCAGUAGAAGGACACGUGUGUUUUCCGUUUUUUUCUGAAUUUCUGUUGUUACAGCUACAGAACAAAUUCCUGAUUUGAUCCUUUUUUUAUAUUAUGUAGUUCUUUUUGUUUUAUUGACCUCUGUUGUCACAGCUGUUAUUUGGCCUAAAUGAAAUUCUCAACAGACAUUUUUGGCUUCUUUCAUCUUUCUGGCUCUUUGUUAGUAACAGCUUUCGUUGUUGAUGUAAUCUCGUCCUGUGGAGAAAACAAGGUUUCAUGCUAACCUGUAAUGUCUGCUGUUCACUGGGACGAUCGUACCUCUGAGAUUUAUGUCCACGCAGUUCUCUCUGGUUCUACCAUUGGGAUGAGUCGUACCCAUCUCACCGACACAAACCUUUCACCGCUGAUUCCUAGCCACUUACCCUUCUGAAGAAAAACUGGGUCAGCACUAGUGCAACAGCAACCAAACAGCAGACAAAGACUGAGACACUCUUGCAUCGGCGCUUCCUCCCCAGGAGUUGGUGUGUCAGUUAGUGGCUCUGACAAUGAGCUGUCUGAUGAAGUGGUUGUCACAGUCCAGGUCAUUUAGCCACUGCACUCAAUCAUUUCCGGUUUUAUUUUGUACCACUUCCUGUUUAGUGCCCAUGUUUUCUGUUCCAGCUUUACCUCCGGUUUUAGUUUGACGCACCUGUGCCCUGUUACUAAUUGCUCACCUGCUAACUAUCCAGCCGUCAUCUCCAUUUAGUAUUUAAGCACCACCCCUCAGCCCUGCACCUUGCCAGAUUGUCUUUGUGUAUGAAUCAGCAAUCCAGCGUUAUCCUCAUGAUCUUGAACCUGUGUAUGACCUCGCUUCUCCUGACCCAGAUUCUCGUCUCAUCUCUGAUCCUGCCGUGCCGUGAGUUUGACCCUAGCCUGCCUUGACCACCGCUUGUCUAAACCCUGUCUGUACUGAACCUGCCUGAUCUGUGUAUCGACCCUUGCCUGCCUGACCACGAGCGUGAAUAAACCCUGUUGUUCACUGAGCCUUGUCUCCGCU